GUAGGGAAUAUUGGACAAUGGGGGAAACCCUGAUCCAGCAACGCCGCGUGGGCGAUGACGCAUCUUGGUGUGUAAAGCCCUGUCAGUGGGGACGAAACGUCGGUAGAGGAAAUGAUAUCGACCUGACUGUACCCGCAGAGGAAGUUCCGGCUAACUCCGUGCCAGCAGCCGCGGUAAUACGGGGGGAACUAGCGUUGUUCGGAUUUACUGGGCGUAAAGGGCACGCAGGCGGGGAUGCAAGUCAGAUGUGAAAACCCGAAGCUUAACUCCGGGCCGGCAUUUGAUACUGCAUCUCUUGAGUACGGGAGAGGAUGAUAGAAUUCUUGGUGUAGCGGUGAAAUGCGUAGAUAUCAAGAGGAAUACCGGUGGCGAAGGCGAUCAUCUGGCCCGAUACUGACGCUCAGGUGCGAAGGUCGGGGGAGCAAACAGGAUUAGAUACCCCGGUAGUCC
RNAcentral lists this ribosomal RNA (450 nucleotides) under uncultured bacterium. RNAcentral describes it as "bacterial SSU rRNA". It matches the Rfam family "Bacterial small subunit ribosomal RNA", at positions 354 to 796 of the family's 1533-position model. The record is from RNAcentral.